RNAcentral lists this ribosomal RNA (276 nucleotides) under uncultured prokaryote. RNAcentral describes it as "partial 16S ribosomal RNA". It matches the Rfam family "Bacterial small subunit ribosomal RNA", at positions 524 to 800 of the family's 1533-position model. The record is from RNAcentral.
UACGGAGGAUGCGAGCGUUAUCCGGAUUUAUUGGGUUUAAAGGGUGCGUAGGCGGUCUUUCAAGCCAGAAGUGAAAGGCUACGGCUCAACCGUAGUAAGCUUUUGGAACUGUAAGACUUGAGUGCAGGAGAGGAGAGUGGAAUUCCUAGUGUAGCGGUGAAAUGCGUAGAUAUUAGGAGGAACACCAGUAGCGAAGGCGGCUCUCUGGACUGUAACUGACGCUGAGGCACGAAAGCGUGGGGAGCAAACAGGAUUAGAUACCCCCGUAGUCCCUGA